Molecule: long non-coding RNA, 1076 nt
Filed under: Anser cygnoides (Swan goose)
Lineage: Eukaryota; Metazoa; Chordata; Aves; Anseriformes; Anatidae
Description: lncRNA (ENSACDG00005018412.1)
Source: RNAcentral
AUGCAUGUAUUCCUCCCAGAGACCAUGCGGCUAAAUAGACCGCCAGGCAAGGGCUGCAACCAGCAGCACCCGGUACACACCGCUUACGACCCGCUACAGCUCCCCCCUCCAGCACCGCUACCACCCCGCUCCGUCGGGACCAACGCAUCCCUCACCACCCGGCUUUACCUUGGCAGGCGACGGCAGCCGCCGGCUCCCGGAGGCGCUGCGAGCAGGAGGCGAGGCGGGCUGGGCUCCGCGGCACCGCCUGGGGGGAAAUGGGGCCGGCCCGCCGGCUGUCGGGCUUCCCGGGGCGGCCACCUCAGCGGGAGCCGCCCCGGGGCUCACAGCGCCGCCCUCCGCCUUCAGCCGCCGGGGGCAGCCGUCCCGCAGAGCCCGGGUCCGGCUCCCCUCACGGGGACACGCGGGGACUCCCCGCUGGAGGCGGCCCCGAGGGCUGUGGUGAGCCGAGGUCCCCGCUGGAGGGUGGGGGGGACCCACAAAAUGGAGCCUGAAAGCCCAGGCGGGAGGUGUCGCGUUUCCCGCUCCUCUCCUGCCCCUCGUCACCUCACGGCUAGGCCGGGCGGUUCUCAGACAGAAAGCUAUGACAGAUCAGCAUCGUUCUCCCUAAGAGGAACAGUGAAGAUGAGAAGAGCACAAGGAAAAGAAAAGCAAGGAGAAAACAGUGCAGAGGCUAGGUUGCAUCGUUUUGCACAAGCAUUUGCUUUUCUGUAACUGCGUGCCAACAGGAGGCUCUGUGGUUUUCGCCCUCCGUGGCCUGUAGUUGGUGCUGGACUGCAACCAAAUGUCUGUGAGCCAUGCAAGAGUCAAGCUGAGACUUUCCUUCCACUGUUCAGAGGAAUGAUAUCAGAGGAAUGAUACCUUUGGCUGCAUGCAUCACUUUUACUCAAGACUAGCAUCUCACAUGAUUCACAAGAGCAUAAGACAGUGAGUGAUCCACUGAGAUAGAUAGAAGUAUUAAGCUAACAGUGUUUUCCAGAUGGUGCUGACAGUACAGUUUCCCAAAAAAUACAAGUUGAAUAUGAGGUCUAUUUGAAUUUAAUAAAAUCAAUGAUAUAUGAAAGAGGAACUUUAGA